Molecule: ribosomal RNA, 477 nt
Filed under: uncultured bacterium
Lineage: Bacteria
Description: partial 16S ribosomal RNA
Rfam family: Bacterial small subunit ribosomal RNA
Source: RNAcentral
GAUGAACGCUGGCGGCGUGCCUAACACAUGCAAGUCGAACGAAGCACCUUACCUGAUUCUUCGGAUGAAAGUUUGGUGACUGAGUGGCGGACGGGUGAGUAACGCGUGGGUAACCUGCCCUGUACAGGGGGAUAACAGCUGGAAACGGCUGCUAAUACCGCAUAAGCGCACGAGGAGACAUCUCCUUGUGUGAAAAACUCGGGUGGUACAGGAUGGGCCCGCGUCUGAUUAGCUGGUUGGCAGGGUAACGGCCUACCAAGGCAACGAUCAGUAGCCGGUCGGAGAGGAUGAACGACCACAAUGGAACUGAGACACGGUCCAAACUCCUACGGAAGGCAGCAGUGGGGAAUAUUGCGCAAUGGGGGAAGCCCUAAUGCAGCAACGCCGCGUGAGUGAAGAAGUAUUUCGGUAUGUAAAGCUCUAACAGCAGGGAAGAUAAUGACGGUACCUGACGAAGAAGCUCCGGCUAAAUACGUG